This is a transfer RNA of Gaeumannomyces graminis, 105 nucleotides long. It matches the Rfam family "tRNA". Rfam says of the family: Transfer RNA (tRNA) molecules are approximately 80 nucleotides in length. Their secondary structure includes four short double-helical elements and three loops (D, anti-codon, and T loops). The record is from Rfam. Lineage: Eukaryota; Fungi; Ascomycota; Sordariomycetes; Magnaporthales; Magnaporthaceae.
GGCAAGAUGGCCGAGCGGUCUAAGGCGCUAGCUUCAGGAGGAUCUCGAGAUCUGAGGGAUUUGCUAGUCACGCAAGUGGCGUGGGUUCGAAUCCCACUCUUGUCA